Molecule: non-coding RNA, 331 nt
Organism: Enhydra lutris kenyoni (northern sea otter)
Lineage: Eukaryota; Metazoa; Chordata; Mammalia; Carnivora; Mustelidae
Source: the annotation of a RefSeq genome assembly
AUGGAAUUUGUGCUUGGCUGGGUUUUCCUUGUUGCUCUUUUAAAAGGUGUCCUGUGUGAGGUGCAGCUGGUGGAGUCUGGGGGAGACUUGGUGAAGCCUGGGGGGUCUCUGAGACUCUCCUGUGCAGCUUCUGGAUUCACCAUCAGUAACAAUGAAAUGAACUGUGUCCGCCAGGCUCCAGGGAUGGGGCUGCAGUGGGUCGCAUAUAUUAACAGUGUUGGAAGCACAUACUCUGUGAAGGGCCGAUUCACCAUCUCCAGAGACAAUGGCAAGAACAUGAUGUAUCUGUAGAUGAACAGCCUGAGAGCCAAAGACACGGCCGUGUAUUAUU